CGGUAAUUCCAGCUCCAAUAGCGUAUAUUUAAGUUGUUGCAGUUAAAAAGCUCGUAGUUGGAUUUCGGGUGGGUAGCRCCGGUCUCGCUUUGCGUUUGUACUGGUGCCGCCUU
RNAcentral lists this ribosomal RNA (113 nucleotides) under Cloniophora willei. Its description in RNAcentral is "partial 18S ribosomal RNA". It matches the Rfam family "Eukaryotic small subunit ribosomal RNA", at positions 579 to 691 of the family's 1831-position model. The record is from RNAcentral. Lineage: Eukaryota; Viridiplantae; Chlorophyta; Ulvophyceae; Ulvales; Cloniophoraceae.